This is a small nuclear RNA of Acomys russatus (golden spiny mouse), 170 nucleotides long. RefSeq annotates it as U1 spliceosomal RNA. NCBI's taxonomy places the organism in Eukaryota, Metazoa, Chordata, Mammalia, Rodentia, Muridae. The record is from RefSeq and is a predicted model, not a curated record. The transcript has a single exon.
UAAUGCAGAAGGCGGUGCGGGGAGACACCUUGAUCAUGAAAGUGGUUUCCCAAGGGUGAGGUUUAGCCUUUGCAUUCUGGAUAUGCUGACCCCUGAAAUUUCCCCAAAUGAGCAGAAACUCAACUGCAUAAGUUCUGGAAUUUGGGGGAGUAUAUUUGCAAUCUCCCCUG